GACGAACGCUGGCGGCGUGCUUAACACAUGCAAGUCGAACGGAAAGGCCCUGCGUUUGUUGGGUUCUCGAUUGGCGAACGGGUGAGUAACACGCGAGGAACCUGCCCUUGACUGUGGGAUAACUUCUGGAAACUGGGGCGAAUACCGGGGAUGAGCUCCUGCUGCAUGUGGGGGGUUGGAGAAUUUCGGCUGUUGGGGCUGGACUCGCUGGUUAUCAGCUUGUUGGUGGAGUAGUGGCGGACAAGGGCUUCGACGGGUAGCCGGCGUGAGAGGGUGACCGGCCACAUUGGGACUACGAGACGGAGCAGAAUCCAACGGGCGGCAGCAGUCGGAAAUCUUGCGCAACGGCGGGACGCCUGAUACAACAAUGCCGGGUGCGGGAUGACGGCCUUCUGGUUAUGAACCGAUUUCGCCUGUGCCGAGGAGUGCGUGACGGUAAUGGGUCAAGAAGCAACGGCUAACUACGUG
Molecule: ribosomal RNA, 468 nt
Filed under: uncultured bacterium
Lineage: Bacteria
Description: partial 16S ribosomal RNA
Rfam family: Bacterial small subunit ribosomal RNA
Source: RNAcentral